UUCUUUUGUUCUCAUCUGAUGGAGCUUGUAAACACAGGCCAAAUCGUUGCAACGUUAGUUGUGUCGACAAGCUCCAUCAGAUGAGAACAAAAGAAAUG
Non-coding RNA from Bodo saltans, 98 nucleotides. Lineage: Eukaryota; Euglenozoa; Kinetoplastea; Eubodonida; Bodonidae. The record is from the annotation of a GenBank genome assembly.